UAACGCGUGGGAAUCUGCCCUCAGGUGGGGAAUAACGACGGGAAACUGUCGCUAAUACCGCAUACGCCCUCCGGGGGAAAGAUUUAUCGCUGAUAGAUGAGCCCGCGUACGAUUAGCUAGUUGGUGAGGUAAUGGCUCACCAAGGCUACGAUCGUUAGCUGGUCUGAGAGGAUGAUCAGCCACACUGGGACUGAGACACGGCCCAGACUCCUACGGGAGGCAGCAGUGGGGAAUAUUGGACAAUGGGCGAAAGCCUGAUCCAGCAAUGCCGCGUGAGUGAUGAAGGCCUUAGGGUUGU
This 298-nucleotide ribosomal RNA is filed under the name uncultured Sphingomonadaceae bacterium. Its description in RNAcentral is "partial 16S ribosomal RNA". It matches the Rfam family "Bacterial small subunit ribosomal RNA", at positions 111 to 426 of the family's 1533-position model. The record is from RNAcentral. Lineage: Bacteria; Pseudomonadati; Pseudomonadota; Alphaproteobacteria; Sphingomonadales; Sphingomonadaceae.